This 318-nucleotide ribosomal RNA is filed under the name Candidatus Saganbacteria bacterium. RNAcentral describes it as "bacterial SSU rRNA". It matches the Rfam family "Bacterial small subunit ribosomal RNA", at positions 1 to 337 of the family's 1533-position model. The record is from RNAcentral. Lineage: Bacteria; Bacillati.
UUCUUUGAGAGUUUGAUCUUGGCUCAGGACGAACGCUGGCGGCGUGCCUAACACAUGCAAGUCGAACGAUAUAGUGGCGGACGGGUGAGUAACACGUAAGCAACCUACCCUCAAGACUGGCACAACUAGCCGAAAGGUUAGCUAAUUCCAGAUGUGGUCACCGGGCGACAUCUCCUGGUGAUUAAACCCCGCAAGGGGCUUAAGGAUGGGCUUGCGUCCUAUCAGCUAGUUGGCGAGGUAACGGCUCACCAAGGCAAUGACGGGUAGCUGGUCUGAGAGGACGACCAGUCACAAGGGAACUGAGACACGGUCCCUACU